RNAcentral lists this ribosomal RNA (497 nucleotides) under uncultured bacterium. RNAcentral describes it as "partial 16S ribosomal RNA". It matches the Rfam family "Bacterial small subunit ribosomal RNA", at positions 28 to 507 of the family's 1533-position model. The record is from RNAcentral.
GAUGAACGCUGGCGGCGUGCCUAAUACAUGCAAGUCGAGCGAACGGACGAGAAGCUUGCUUCUCUGAUGUUAGCGGCGGACGGGUGAGUAACACGUGGAUAACCUACCUAUAAGACUGGGAUAACUUCGGGAAACCGGAGCUAAUACCGGAUAAUAUUUUGAACCGCAUGGUUCAGAAGUAAAAGACGGUCUUGCUGUCACUUAUAGAUGGAUCCGCGCUGCAUUAGCUAGUUGGUAAGGUAACGGCUUACCAAGGCAACGAUGCAUAGCCGACCUGAGAGGGUGAUCGGCCACACUGGAACUGAGACACGGUCCAGACUCCUACGGGAGGCAGCAGUAGGGAAUCUUCCGCAAUGGGCGAAAGCCUGACGGAGCAACGCCGCGUGAGUGAUGAAGGUCUUCGGAUCGUAAAACUCUGUUAUUAGGGAAGAACAUAUGUGUAAGUAACUGUGCACAUCUUGACGGUACCUAAUCAGAAAGCCACGGCUAACUACGUG